AACCAUAGAAACCUGCGGAGUACCUGCGGAGGGAUCAUUACAGAGUUGCAAAACUCCCUAAACCAUUGUGAACGUUACCUAAACCGUUGCUUCGGCGGGCGGCCCGGGUCCUUCCCGGCGCCCGUCGGCCCUCGCGGGCGCCCGCCGGAGGUAAACCAAACUAUUGCAUUGUAUGGCCUCUCUGAGUCUUCUGUACUGAAUAAGUCAAAACUUUUAGCAACGGAUCUCAGAUCGGAAGAG
RNAcentral lists this unclassified non-coding RNA (240 nucleotides) under soil metagenome. RNAcentral's name for it is "partial contains 5.8S ribosomal RNA, internal transcribed spacer 2, and large subunit ribosomal RNA". The record is from RNAcentral.